RNA transcript from Hemibagrus wyckioides, 1917 nucleotides. It is a transcript of the gene named charged multivesicular body protein 7, with no coding region annotated. NCBI's taxonomy places the organism in Eukaryota, Metazoa, Chordata, Actinopteri, Siluriformes, Bagridae. The record is from RefSeq and is a predicted model, not a curated record. The transcript is spliced from 12 exons.
UACGGCCUCGUGUAGCCUAAGCAAAACACUAUAAUAGGAAAACGGGGGCGAGAUUUUCGUCUUUGGCGUUUGCGUUUAUUUUUGCUCUGAACAAGCAUGUCGGUUUUUAUUCAUCUAUCUAAAGCAGAGAUGCUGUAAAGAAUUUGUUUACCUGCUCAUGCGUGGAUCAAACGUACAAUUACGCACAAUGCCAGUUUCAAUACAGCAGAAGGUCGGCACGUCCUCCUUCGAGUUCCCCCCUGACUGGGAAGAUGACGAGCGGAUGGCCUUCUUGUUCUCGGCUUUCAAAGCAAACCGAGAGGUCGAUCCGAACGACUGGGACGGCAAGAUGAACUUCUGGAUGCCUCUGGUGGUGCAGAGCUGCAGACAGCGUGGGUUCGUGUGUAUGAACUUGCAGGAGCUGAACGAAAGCUUUCAGCGAAAGGGGACCGUUCCUAUGGGCCUAAGCACCGUUAUACAGGGCAUGAUCAGAAGCGGUAAAGUGCAGAAAGAGUCCGAUUUUGCUGCCAAUGUAGACUCCGGCUGGUUGUCGUGGGGCGUCGGGUUGUUGCUGGUCAGACCUCUGAAGUGGACGCUAUCCGCUCUACUGGGCAGUGGGCGAGUUCCACUCGAGGAGUCAUUUGUGGUAAUCGAAUUGGUUAAAGAGAAAGCUGCUGCACUGAUGGCUGCGUAUCGGAGCUCUCCUCUCGCAGGACGCUCUCUGCUCUCAUUUCAGGAGCUGCGCUCUUUCUCCUCUCAUAUCUGUCCUGAUGAGACCACACUGUGUCUCGCGCUGCUGCAGCUCCAGAGGGAGAAAUAUGUCACCGUCUCGCUCCAUGAGGGGGAAAAGCUGGUGAAGUUCAGUCAGGCAGGACAGGGCCGUGUGUCUCCGGUCAGUGAGGUGGAGCUGGGAAUCUACCAGCUCCAGCGUAGCAAGAAGCUGCUGGAAGAGAGAGUUGAGGCUCUGGGGCAAGAAGUGGAGAAAUGUAAAGAACAGGCAAAGACUCUGCUAAAAGAGGGGAAGAAGUCUCAGGCAUUAAGAUGUCUAAGGGGUAAGAAGCGUGUCGAGGGCAAAGCCGAUCGGCUGUACGUUCAACUCGAAACAGUGAAAGGAAUCCUGGACAGGAUAGCGAGCUCACAGACUGAUCGUCUGGUGAUGCAGGCAUACCAGGCAGGUGUAGCAGCUCUGAGGAUUUCACUGAAGGGCAUAACUGUUGAGAGAGCAGAGAACCUGGUUGAUCAGAUUCAGGAGCUGUGUGACACUCAGGAUGAAGUUAACCAGACUCUGGCUGGAGGAGCUUUAGACUCAACCGAAGGAGAAUCCGAAGAGCUGGAGGAGGAGCUGAAGUCGUUACUGGAGGACGGCGCUCCAGACACGAGUCUAACGCUACCAGAGAUUCCACAACACCCUGUCUCCACUAAAAACACCAGUGUAUUAGAUGAUGCUUUCUUUCACUCUCUGCCCUCUGUGCCUGACACUAACAUCACCGACGAGGAGCUGGAGAGAGAGCUGGGUCGACUCAGCCUUCCAUCCAUCCAUCUUCUAUACCAGCUUUAUUCCUAAUUAGGGUCACAGGGAUCUGCUGGAGCCUAUCCCAGCACACAUUGGGCGAAAGGCAGGGGUACACCCUGGACAGGAAGGCAAUGUAAAAGAUGGACGGACGAAUGGAAGGACAGAUAUAUAUACGAGACAAAGAUUCCUGACACAGCACAAUGAACACGGCUCCCGCAAAUAAUUAGAUAGGCUUGUUGCUGAAUACACAGAAGGCAAUCUAAUAGCCUAUGUAAUUUUUUUCUUCCUUUCUUUGCCUUUCUUUGUUUGUAAUGGCAUGUUUGUGAUUUUCUUUUUAAAAAAAGAGAAACAUUUUAAAAGAGUGGCCUUUGGAGUAAUAUGUAAUAUGUAUUCUAAUAAAAAUGACAUUAUGAUGCUUAAUAAGA